CGAUUCCAAGAAGCCCAGCACUAUGUUAACAUCCCAAAACGAUGAAUACCUGGAUUUCGUAGGCCUAAAGUAACGAAUACCCUUCAACAAUCGGCAUACAAGAGAAUGUUGUCCAACCGGUGAUCUGUCAAUAUCAGAGAGGCAGAAAGGGGAUCCAGCAGUCUUCCCACGCACCAGCCAGACCACACACGCCAUGCAGAUUUGUAAGCUGUUCUGGUACCCGGUGCCCAGGCAUUCUCCAGGAGUCUUGUAGUACACCAGGGUCCCCCGAAAUCAACCAAACCGUGAGCUGGAGCACGUCCUGGUCCACCAAAUCGUGUGAGUUCCCAUCCGGAUCCAGAAGCACAUCUGGCCGCAUCUUGAUCAUCCGUGGGCAAUCCGUUGCCAUCUCCAAGAGACGUGGGAACCAAGGCUGAGUCUGCCAUAGGGGAACUAUCACUACCAGUGUACACUGUUGUCUGGGCAAGUACGCCAGUGUCCGAGAGAUCAGGUUGAAAGGGGGAAACGCAAAGUGACGACCCCAAGGCCAUGUCUGCAGGAACGCAUC
This is a non-coding RNA of Pelobates cultripes (western spadefoot toad), 547 nucleotides long. The record is from the annotation of a GenBank genome assembly. NCBI's taxonomy places the organism in Eukaryota, Metazoa, Chordata, Amphibia, Anura, Pelobatidae.